UACGAAGGGGGCGAGCGUUGUUCGGAUUUACUGGGCGUAAAGGGCGCGCAGGCGGUCUUGAAAGUCAGGCGUGAAAGCCCCGGGCUUAACCUGGGAAUUGCGCUUGAUACGCUGAGACUGGAGUACGGGAGAGGAGAGUGGAAUUCCCAGUGUAGAGGUGAAAUUCGUAGAUAUUGGGAAGAACACCAGUGGCGAAGGCGGCUCUCUGGACCGUAACUGACGCUGAGGCGCGAAAGCGUGGGGAGCAAACAGG
This 253-nucleotide ribosomal RNA is filed under the name uncultured bacterium. Its description in RNAcentral is "partial 16S ribosomal RNA". It matches the Rfam family "Bacterial small subunit ribosomal RNA", at positions 524 to 776 of the family's 1533-position model. The record is from RNAcentral.